AACUUUGGUGUUUAUGACGUCAUAAACACGAACAAGUUUGGUGUUUAUGACGUCGAUAUUCGACGUAAUAAACACGAACAAGUUUUGUGUUUAUGACGUCGAUAUUCGACGUCAUAAACAGGAUCAACUUUGGUUGUUAUGACGUCCAUAUUCGACGUCAUAAACACGAACAAGUUUGGUGUUUAUGACGUCGAUAUUCGACGUCAUAAACACGAUCAACUUUGGUGGUUAUGACGUCGAUAUUCGACGUC
Molecule: non-coding RNA, 251 nt
Organism: Paramuricea clavata
Lineage: Eukaryota; Metazoa; Cnidaria; Anthozoa; Malacalcyonacea; Plexauridae
Source: the annotation of a GenBank genome assembly